Molecule: long non-coding RNA, 558 nt
Organism: Homo sapiens (human)
Lineage: Eukaryota; Metazoa; Chordata; Mammalia; Primates; Hominidae
Source: Ensembl
CAGUCCCAGCUUGUUGGGCUACUUCAUGAGACACUGCAUGGAUGUGCCCGACACAGCAGUUACCAUCACUGACCACAGCAACUUGCUCUUCCCGGGCUAGAGCUUUUGCAUCCCUCUUUCCUGAAGAGGCCAGCUGAAGAUCGGAACUUAAGAGAAGUCAGAGGCUCCUGCUGAAAAAGGCCACCGUGUGGUGUGUGUUUGCUGGUGGGAGAUUAGGAGGAUGGUGCACAGAACCAUCAAUGAGGAAUCCACGGGGGAAGAUGGUGCAAGGUAGGAAGAGCUAGGCUUCCACGCUUGCCAAAAAUGACAUCCGCCGCUGCCAAAGGACAAGAGGAAGAUGGGGUUCCCUGCGAAAUCCCUUUCCUUUCCAAGAAGGCAAUAAAAUCCUGUAGUGGUUCAUUUUAACCAUCAGGAGCCUCUGCCACAUAAUGACAUCCAUGUCUGCAUAAGGAUAAGAUACGGUGGGUCCCAGGGAUUGAGGGGAUGGUGUUCAUUUCAAAAUCUUGCUUCUUCUUGUUCUGAUACCAUGUGUACAAUACAGAAAACCAAUCAUAGUGU